GAUAAGCGCUGAAAGCAUCUAAGCGCGAAGCGAGCCCUGAGAUGAGUCUUCCCUGAUACUUUAAGUAUCCUAAAGGGUUGUUCGAGACUAGAACGUUGAUAGGCAGGGUGUGUAAGCGUUGUGAGGCGUUGAGCUAACCUGUACUAAUUGCCCGUGAGGCUUAACCAUACAACACCCAAGGGGUUUUGUA
RNAcentral lists this ribosomal RNA (190 nucleotides) under Vibrio cholerae. Its description in RNAcentral is "partial 23S ribosomal RNA". The stretch from base 1 to 168 matches the Rfam family "Bacterial large subunit ribosomal RNA", at positions 2763 to 2925 of the family's 2925-position model. The record is from RNAcentral. Lineage: Bacteria; Pseudomonadati; Pseudomonadota; Gammaproteobacteria; Vibrionales; Vibrionaceae.